AUGGGUCUUACUGCGGUACUAGUGGGUCUAUGGGUCUUACUGCAGUACUAGUGGGUCUAUGGGUCUUACUGCAGUACUAGUGGGUCUAUGGGUCUUACCUUCAGUACUAGUGGGUCUAUGGGUCUUACUGCAGUACUAGUGGGUCUAUGGGUCUUACUGCAGUACUAGUGUGGUUCUACAAUCCAUUGAUCUCAUCCUGAGAUGUUUCAUGAUGAUCUCAGACUGAGGUGAUAUUUCUAAUAAUACUGGGUUGGACAUAGUCACCGCAGAGCGGAGGGCACAACUUGGCUUGUUCAACCGGUUAAUUAAUGUGUGAUAACAGAUAUGUGUGAGAUAUCAGACACUCCUGUGGUUGUGUGUGAUUACUUCAUAGUCUGUGGACUCUAGUGGUUAGUCAGGACUUAGAUACUAACUGACAUGGAACAGAGUCCAUUCCCUGACUACAGUGAAAUAGGCCUACCGCCUACUCCGGAGAUAUGCAUUGGCUUGGGACAGUGAUCCCCAGGAAUCUAUUUAAUUAAUGCACACAGCUUUUUCACUAAUAAAAUGUUGAAAAGACUACAUCACUAUUUAUUGUUACCAAUAUGACCAUUAGAAUAACAAAUUCAAACUGCUGUUUCAUCAUGAUAUCUUGUUGCUGUUAAUCUGCAUUAUAAGGCUGCGUUGAGACAAUGACUUAUUAAAGACCCAAGCCCAGCUCAGUUAAUCCCUACCAUUGUGACGCUGAGUUGUCAUAAUGCUUCAGGCAAAUGUACAUUACACCAGGGGUGUUGGUAGACACAAUGUACGUCACCAAAUAUAUGUCCCUCUAACUGCCUGAAAGCCUCUGUUGAUCCUACAGCUAUUGCCUGCAGUAAUCAUGUGCCUAUGAACCAGAGUUACACUAUUAGCACUAAGGAGGUGUGUCCUAGUAGGAAGACCACUGUUAACACUGAGGAGGUGUGUCCUAGUAGGAAGACCACUGUUAACACUGAGGAGGUGUGUCCUAGUAGGAAGACCACUGUUAACACUGAGGUGGUGUGUCCUCGUAGGAAGACCACUGUUAACACUGAGGAGAUGUGUCCUAGUAGGAAGACCACUGUUAGCACUAAGGAGGUGUGUCCUAGUAGGAAGACCACUGUUAACACUGAGGAGAUGUGUCCUAGUAGGAAGACCACUGAGGUGGUGUGUCCCAGUAGGAAGACCACUGUUAACACUGAGGUGUGUCCUAGUAGGAAGACCACUGUUAACACUGAGGAGAUGUGUCCUAGUAGGAAGACCACUGUUAGCACUAAGGAGGUGUGUCCUAGUAGGAAGACCACUGAGGUGGUGUGUCCCAGUAGGAAGACCACUGUUACCACUGAGGAGGUGUGUCCAAUAGGAAGACCACUGUUACCACUGAGGAGGUGUGUCCUAGUAGGAAGACCACUGUUAACACUGAGGUGUGUCCUAGUAGGAAGACCACUGAGGAGGUGUGUCCUAGUAGGAAGACCACUGUUAACACUGAGGAGGUGUGUCCUAGUAGGAAGACCACUGAGGUGGUGUGUCCUAUAGGAAGACCACUUAACACUGAGGAGGUGUGUCCUAGUAGGAAGACCACUGAGGAGGUGUGUCCUAGUAGGAAGACCACUGUUAACACUGAGGAGGUGUGUCCUAGUAGGAAGACCACUGAGGUGGUGUGUCCUAUAGGAAGACCACUGUGUGCAUCUCACCCUGCAUUAAUAAAAAAAAAACACAUGAGUAUGUCUGUCUACCUCUGCUAAGCUUCCCAGUAAAGUAAUAAAAACAACCAAGCAUCCCAGAAAUGUGUUAAAAAUAGCCCGUGGUAAUAUAUGUAGCUUAAGAAACAAGGUUCAUCAAGUCAAUAAUUUGCUAGUAACAGAUUACAUUCAUAAUACCUUAGAUGAUACAGUGGUAGCAAUAGAAGGUUAUAACAUUGACAGAGAAGAUAGAAAUGCCAAAGGUGGAGGUGUUGCUGUUUGUAUUCAGAACCACAUUCCUGUGAAGAAUAGAGAGGAUCUCAUGUUAAAUACUGUUGAAGUAAUAUGGCUACAGGUUCAUCUGCCUCACCUAAAGCCCAUUCUGGUGGGAAGCUGCUAUAGACCACCAAGUGCUAACAGUCAGUAUCUGGAUAACGUGUGAAAUGCUUGAUAAUGUAUGUGACAUCAACAGAGAGGUAUAUUUUCUGGGUGAUUUAAAUAUUGACCAGCUUUCAUCAAGCUGCCCACUCAAGGAAAAGCUUUAAAGUGUAAACAGCACAGGAAUGAAAACAGCAACAUGUAUUGAUGUAUUGAUCACAUCUUUACUGAUGCUGCAGAACUCGGCUCUAAAGCAGCAUCCAGGUCCAUUGGAUGUAGUGAUCACAAUAUAGUAGCCAUAACCAGGAAAACCUAAGUUCCAAAGGCUGGAACUUAUAUAGUGUAUAAGAGGUCAUAUAAGACGUUUUGUUGUGAUUCCUAUGUUGUUGAUGUAAAUCAUAUUUGCUGGUCUGUGGUGUGUAAUGAGGAGCAACCAGACGCUGCUGGUCUGUGGUGUGUAAUGAGGAGCAACCAGACGCUGCUGGUCUGUGG
Long non-coding RNA from Oncorhynchus tshawytscha (Chinook salmon), 2549 nucleotides. The record is from Ensembl. NCBI's taxonomy places the organism in Eukaryota, Metazoa, Chordata, Actinopteri, Salmoniformes, Salmonidae.